Molecule: long non-coding RNA, 1046 nt
Filed under: Homo sapiens (human)
Lineage: Eukaryota; Metazoa; Chordata; Mammalia; Primates; Hominidae
Description: long non-coding RNA NONHSAT195152.1
Source: RNAcentral
GCAUCUGAUGGUGCCAUUAUGAAGAUGAACUGUUAACUAAAUUGCUUUGGUGGAAUAUGUAUGCUAGGGAAGAGGAGAGAGAAAAAAAAUGUUUCAGAGGAAGGAGCCCCUGCCUUCUGGUGAAGAGUAUUCAAGAUGAAGAUAAACUUUUCAACUUAAUAUCGAGAGUUUGAUAGCAGAAGGGAUCUACUCUUGAAAGUCCAAAAAAUGUUGUUGCUAUAGGAACAGGCUCGGUGAACAAGACAUUUGAGAAGAGAAGGUCAAAGACCCAGCUGCACUUCUGCUUCACUGCUGAACUUCUGCUUCUUCCUAUCAGGGAAUACACUGCUCCUCACAUUAGGGAUUUCCUAAAAUUGUUAGGUGUUUUGAACAGAACUGGCUAUACCAAUGAGGCUCAAACAAGAAUCAUAAAGUGCAUGGUGCUUCUCUCCCUCUCUGUUUUCUUUAAAAAGAAAACAUUCUUGACAAGAUGAAUACAAUAUUUUCAUUCUAGCAAAUUUCUGCUGUCAGAGGUUAUAUUUACAGGAUAGAGAGAUUUCUCAAACAUGACCUUUUCUCGUGUAAUACCAGAGUGAAAUUUUAGAAAAGUCUGUGUGUGUGUGAUGCGUGCGUGUGUGUGUGUGUGUGUGUGUGUGUGUGUGUGUCUCGCAGGCUGAGAAGUGGGAUGGGAAGAAGGGAAUGUGGCUAGAAUCUUACCAUCUCAUUCUCUUCUCCUUCAUUGAGCAGAGCGUGCUGGCCCUUCUCAAAGUGUCCCAUGAAAAAGUUAUUCCACACCUCCUCCCUGACCUUGUCGUGCAGACGCUUCCAGGAUGAACUCCAACUCGCCGAGCCACCGCAGCUCCUCAGCUGACUAAAAGAGUUAAUGAUCCUCCAGGUUAAAACUCCUCCUUGAGCACACACCUUCUCUCAACAAAUGACAAUACUUGGCAAACUGAACUCCUCCCACGAGUCGCCCUCUGCUAGGAGGAAUUGCUGGCUGCUCCCUGCUUAUUGCAUUCUCUCAGAGCAGCUGUCUCAAAGGAGGCUGCUCCCAUGCCGAUCUUUUU